UGGGGAAUAUUGGACAAUGGGCGAAAGCCUGAUCCAGCCAUGCCGCGUGUGUGAAGAAGGUCUUCGGAUUGUAAAGCACUUUAAGUUGGGAGGAAGGGCAGUAAGCGAAUACCUUGCUGUUUUGACGUUACCGACAGAAUAAGCACCGGCUAACUCUGUGCCAGCAGCCGCGGUAAUACAGAGGGUGCAAGCGUUCAUCGGAAUUACUGGGCGUAAAGUGCGCGUAGGUGGUUCGUUAAGUUGAAUGUGAAAGCCCCGGGCUCAACCUGGGAACUGCAUCCAAAACUGGCGAGAUAGAGUAGGGCAGAGGGUGGUGGAAUUUCCUGUGUAGCGGAGAAAUGCGUAGAUAUAGGAAGGAACACCAGUGGCGAAGGCAGCCAUCUGGCCUAACACUGACGCUGAGGUACGAAAGCAUGGGGAGCAAACAGG
This 429-nucleotide ribosomal RNA is filed under the name Pseudomonadota bacterium. Its description in RNAcentral is "Proteobacteria bacterium partial 16S ribosomal RNA". It matches the Rfam family "Bacterial small subunit ribosomal RNA", at positions 355 to 776 of the family's 1533-position model. Lineage: Bacteria; Pseudomonadati; Pseudomonadota. The record is from RNAcentral.